GUCAAGAUAGUUUAAUAAAACAUUAGGUCGUGACCCUAACAAUAGAUGCUACUUCUUCUUGACC
Molecule: transfer RNA, 64 nt
Filed under: Phrynocephalus albolineatus
Lineage: Eukaryota; Metazoa; Chordata; Lepidosauria; Squamata; Agamidae
Description: tRNA-His
Source: RNAcentral